AAUUUGGGACAAUGGGGGAAACGCUGAUCCAGCCAUCCCGCGUGUGUGAUGAAGGNCUNNGGGUUNUNAAGGACUUUUGACAGNNNNNAAAUGACAGGANCUAAUAACUUCUGUAGAUGACGGUACCUGUAGAAUAAGCACCGGCUAACUACGUGCCAGCAGCCGCGGUAAUACGUAGGUUGCAAGCGUUAAUCGGAAUUACUGGACUUAAAGGAUACGCAGGCGGCUAGGAAAGAAAGAUGUGAAGUCCCAGGGCUCAACCUUGGAACUGCAUUUUUAACUACCUGGCUAGAGUAUGUCAGAGGGGGGUAGAAUUCCACGUGUAGCAGUGAAAUGCGUAGAGAUGUGGAGGAAUACCGAUGGCAAAGGCAGCCCCCUGGGAUAAUACUAACGCUCAGGUACGAAAGCGUGGGGAGCAAACA
This 422-nucleotide ribosomal RNA is filed under the name uncultured bacterium. RNAcentral's name for it is "partial 16S ribosomal RNA". It matches the Rfam family "Bacterial small subunit ribosomal RNA", at positions 360 to 774 of the family's 1533-position model. The record is from RNAcentral.